UACGUAGGGUGCAAGCGUUGUCCGGAAUUAUUGGGCGUAAAGAGCUCGUAGGCGGUCUGUCGCGUCGGCUGUGAAAACCUGGGGCUUAACUCCGGGCCUGCAGCCGAUACGGGCAGACUAGAGUUCGGCAGGGGAGACUGGAAUUCCUGGUGUAGCGGUGAAAUGCGCAGAUAUCAGGAGGAACACCGGUGGCGAAGGCGGGACUCUGGGCCGAUACUGACGCUGAGGAGCGAAAGCGUGGGGAGCAAACAGG
RNAcentral lists this ribosomal RNA (253 nucleotides) under uncultured bacterium. RNAcentral's name for it is "partial 16S ribosomal RNA". It matches the Rfam family "Bacterial small subunit ribosomal RNA", at positions 524 to 776 of the family's 1533-position model. The record is from RNAcentral.